ACUUUGUUAUGCGCGGUAGAGGAGCGUUCCGUAAGCCGUUGAAGGUGGAUUGAGAAGUCUGCUGGAGGUAUCGGAAGUGCGAAUGCUGACAUGAGUAACGAUAAUGCGGGUGAAAAACCCGCACGCCGAAAGCCCAAGGUUUCCUUGCGCAACGUUAAUCGGCGCAGGGUGAGUCGGCCCCUAAGGCGAGGACGAAAGUCGUAGUCGAUGGGAAGCAGGUUAAUAUUCCUGCACCUCGCGUAAGUGCGAUGGAGGGACGGAGAAGGUUAGGUGUACCAGGCGUUGGUUGUCCUGGGGAAAGGCGGUAGGUUUGGAUCUUUGGCAAAUCCGGGAUCCUCUAAGACCGAGCACCGAGACGAGCCUUUAUGGCGAAGUCACUGAUACCACGCUUCCAGGAAAAGCUCCUAAGCUUCAGCUUACGCAGACCGUACCGUAAACCGACACAGGUGGGUAGGAUGAGAAUUCUCAGGCGCUUGAGAGAACUCGGGUGAAGGAACUAGGCAACAUGGCACCGUAACUUCGGGAGAAGGUGCACCCUUUUUGGUGGCUCGUGCGAGCUAUAGCUGAAGAGGGUCGCAGUAACCAGGCCGCUGCGACUGUUUAUCAAAAACACAGCACUCUGCAAACACGAAAGUGGACGUAUAGGGUGUGACGCCUGCCCGGUGCUGGAAGGUUAAUUGAUGGGGUCAGCCGCAAGGCGAAGCUCUUGAUCGAAGCCCCAGUAAACGGCGGCCGUAACUAUAACGGUCCUAAGGUAGCGAAAUUCCUUGUCGGGUAAGUUCCGACCUGCACGAAUGGCGUAACGACAGCGGCGCUGUCUCCACCCGAGACUCAGUGAAAUUGAAAUCGCUGUGAAGAUGCAGCGUUCCCGUGGCAAGACGGAAAGACCCCGUGAACCUUUACUAUAGCUUUACACUGAACGUUGAGUUCGUCUGUGUAGGAUAGGUGGGAGGCUAUGAAACUGUGGCGCUAGCUGCAGCGGAGCCAUCCUUGAAAUACCACCCUGUCGUGCUUGACGUUCUAACCUGGGCCCAUUAUCUGGGUCGGGGACCGUGUAUGGUGGGUAGUUUGACUGGGGCGGUCUCCUCCUAAAGAGUAACGGAGGAGCUCGAAGGUACGCUCAGCGCGGUCGGACAUCGCGCACUGUGUGCAAAGGCAUAAGCGUGCUUGACUGCAAGAUCGACGGAUCAAGCAGGUAGGAAACUAGGACUUAGUGAUCCGGUGGUUCUGUAUGGAAGGGCCAUCGCUCAACGGAUAAAAGGUACUCCGGGGAUAACAGGCUGAUACCGCCCAAGAGUUCAUAUCGACGGCGGUGUUUGGCACCUCGAUGUCGGCUCAUCACAUCCUGGGGCUGUAGUCGGUCCCAAGGGUAUGGCUGUUCGCCAUUUAAAGUGGUACGCGAGCUGGGUUCAGAACGUCGUGAGACAGUUCGGUCCCUAUCUGCCAUGGGCGUUGGAGAUUUGAGAGGGGCUGCUCCUAGUACGAGAGGACCGGAGUGGACGAACCUCUGGUGUUCCGGUUGUCACGCCAGUGGCAUUGCCGGGUAGCUAUGUUCGGAAGCGAUAACCGCUGAAAGCAUCUAAGCGGGAAGCGCGCCUCAAGAUGAGAUCUCCCGGGGCACAAGCCCCCUGAAGGAACCAUGUAGACUACGUGGUUGAUAGGUCAGGUGUGUAAGUACAGCAAUGUAUUGAGCUAACUGAUACUAAUGAUCCGUGCGGCUUGACCAUAUAACCUCA
This 1736-nucleotide ribosomal RNA is filed under the name Klebsiella ornithinolytica. RNAcentral's name for it is "bacterial LSU rRNA". It matches the Rfam family "Bacterial large subunit ribosomal RNA", at positions 1213 to 2925 of the family's 2925-position model. The record is from RNAcentral. Lineage: Bacteria; Pseudomonadati; Pseudomonadota; Gammaproteobacteria; Enterobacterales; Enterobacteriaceae.